GACGAACGCUGGCGGCGUGCUUAACACAUGCAAGUCGAACGGAAAGGCCCUGCUUUUGUGGGGUGCUCGAGUGGCGAACGGGUGAGUAACACGUGAGUAACCUGCCCUUGACUUUGGGAUAACUUCAGGAAACUGGGGCUAAUACCGGAUAGGAGCUCCUGCUGCAUGGUGGGGGUUGGAAAGUUUCGGCGGUUGGGGAUGGACUCGCGGCUUAUCAGCUUGUUGGUGGGGUAGUGGCUUACCAAGGCUUUGACGGGUAGCCGGCCUGAGAGGGUGACCGGCCACAUUGGGACUGAGAUACGGCCCAGACUCCUACGGGAGGCAGCAGUGGGGAAUGUUGCACAAUGGGCGGAAGCCUGAUGCAGCAACGCCGCGUGCGGGAUGACGGCCUUCGGGUUGUAAACCGCUUUCGCCUGUGACGAAGCGUGAGUGACGGUAAUGGGUAAAGAAGCACCGGCUAACCACGUG
RNAcentral lists this ribosomal RNA (468 nucleotides) under uncultured bacterium. Its description in RNAcentral is "partial 16S ribosomal RNA". It matches the Rfam family "Bacterial small subunit ribosomal RNA", at positions 28 to 507 of the family's 1533-position model. The record is from RNAcentral.